Molecule: non-coding RNA, 117 nt
Filed under: Homo sapiens (human)
Lineage: Eukaryota; Metazoa; Chordata; Mammalia; Primates; Hominidae
Source: Rfam by way of RNAcentral
GCUGGGUGCGGUGGCUCACGCCUGUAAUCCCAGCACUUUGGGAGGCUGAGGUGGGCGGAUCACCUGAGGUCAGGAGUUCGAGACCAGCCUGGCCAACAUGGUGAAACCCCAUCUCUA